UACAGAGGGUGCGAGCGUUGUCCGGAAUCACUGGGCGUAAAGGGCGCGUAGGCGGCCCGAUAAGUAGGGGGUGAAAUCCUGCGGCUUAACUGCAGGGCUGCCUCCUAGACUGUCAGGCUCGAGCACGGUAGAGGCAGAUGGAAUUCCCGGUGUAGCGGUGGAAUGCGUAGAGAUCGGGAAGAACAUCGGUGGCGAAGGCGGUGGGCUGGGCCGGAACUGACGCUGAGGAGCGAAAGCGUGGGGAGCGAACAGG
RNAcentral lists this ribosomal RNA (253 nucleotides) under uncultured bacterium. Its description in RNAcentral is "partial 16S ribosomal RNA". It matches the Rfam family "Bacterial small subunit ribosomal RNA", at positions 524 to 776 of the family's 1533-position model. The record is from RNAcentral.